RNAcentral lists this ribosomal RNA (599 nucleotides) under Pseudoalteromonas arabiensis. Its description in RNAcentral is "bacterial SSU rRNA". It matches the Rfam family "Bacterial small subunit ribosomal RNA", at positions 81 to 676 of the family's 1533-position model. Lineage: Bacteria; Pseudomonadati; Pseudomonadota; Gammaproteobacteria; Alteromonadales; Pseudoalteromonadaceae. The record is from RNAcentral.
UCCUUUGGCGUCGAGCGGCGGACGGGUGAGUAAUGCUUGGGAAUGUGCCUUAUGGUGGGGGACAACAGUUGGAAACGACUGCUAAUACCGCAUAAUGUCUUCGGACCAAAGUGGGGGACCUUCGGGCCUCACGCCAUAAGAUCAGCCCAAGUGGGAUUAGCUAGUUGGUAAGGUAAUGGCUUACCAAGGCGACGAUCCCUAGCUGGUUUGAGAGGAUGAUCAGCCACACUGGGACUGAGACACGGCCCAGACUCCUACGGGAGGCAGCAGUGGGGAAUAUUGCACAAUGGGCGCAAGCCUGAUGCAGCCAUGCCGCGUGUGUGAAGAAGGCCUUCGGGUUGUAAAGCACUUUCAGUAAGGAGGAAAGGUUAAGUGUUAAUAGCACUUAGCUGUGACGUUACUUACAGAAGAAGCACCGGCUAACUCCGUGCCAGCAGCCGCGGUAAUACGGAGGGUGCGAGCGUUAAUCGGAAUUACUGGGCGUAAAGCGUACGCAGGCGGUUUGUUAAGCGAGAUGUGAAAGCCCCGGGCUCAACCUGGGAACUGCAUUUCGAACUGGCAAACUAGAGUGUGAUAGAGGGUGGUAGAAUUUCAGGUGU